Molecule: RNA transcript, 3679 nt
Organism: Panicum virgatum (switchgrass)
Lineage: Eukaryota; Viridiplantae; Streptophyta; Magnoliopsida; Poales; Poaceae
Exons: 4
Source: RefSeq, a predicted model, not a curated record
UUUUCCGGUCAUUUUGCACAAAAGUACUCAAACUUUCUAUAAAUACAACCCGUCGUCCACUCUCCUCUCUCAAAAACAUUUUUGAAUAAACCCCUAAAGUUUUCUGAAAUCAACCUGCAGUCCACCACACCUCCUCGCAUCGCCCCGCCCCGCGCCGCCGCUGCCCCACAGGCGCGCGCCCUGGGCCGGGGAACGGCAGGGGCGACUCCUCCGUGAAGGUGAGUAGGUGACCGUGCGGGCAAGGACGAGGCAGCUGCUGCCGACCGCGACGAUGGGGUGAGCAAUGGAGCCGGCGAACCGGCGAAUGUGGCAGAGGGGCGCGCGCCACCGUCCGCCACGCCGGGCAACCACGCCGAGCCGCUGCGCCGCAGGGCGUCCCGCCAGGCCACCGCCCGCCGCCGCGCCGCCACGAGCACCGCGCCGAGAUGGCCGCCGAGCCGCGGAGGAGGAGAACGGAAGAGGAGAAGGCGCCACGGAAGAACCGCCGCGUCUAGCUGGCCUCUGCGUAGCCGCGUCGAGCCGGCGGGCCUCUCUCGGCCGCGCGACCCGGCGUGGCGCCUCCGCCUCGCGUGGCCUGGGUCGCGCAAGAGCGCCGCCGGCGACUGCCGCGCCUGGCCGCGGCUCACCCUCCACCUGCCCGCCGGCCAAGCCCUGGCCUGGCACCACGGCCGCAAGGGGCGCAGCGCUGCGCAGCUCUACGCGGCUAGCCGGCCGGCUCCCACGCGGCUGAGGCUUUCACAUUUCAUUUUUGAAUCCAUCAUUUUAAUUAGGCACAUGUCGGUAUUAAAAAAAGAGGAAAGAACACCUUAAAUUAGCCAAUUGAUCCAAAUGUGCAACAAUCAUAUCCUUGCUUAUGAGUUGUUAUCCUUGUUAGUAAUAAUUUGUUACUGGUGCUCCCAUGUCCUAAGAAAUAAGGAUAUCUGAAUUGUUUCAGUUGUGCAAGGGAAUCUAUAGAAUGCAUUUCCAUCUCCCUUUCCUCAGUUCUAUCUAAUUUUGGUUAUGUACUGACACAUAUCUCCACUAGAAAGCACGGAAGGCCCUUUGGCUUCUUUUCCUGGAACUGAACAGUUUUCAGGUCUACAGAUCAGUUGAAGGAGAUGGCCUGGCAAGGGAAAGAUCCAUCUACAGAUUUCAGAGGUGGUGGUUUUAUAUCUUUGGAGAAUUUACUGUACUUCUCUAAGAACUUUCCAGUGAGUAAAAAAUCACUUUUACUGUUACAUUUGUAUAGGGAUGAAAUCUUACAGAGCUGAUGUAGUUUAGGCUUUUAUCCCGAAAGGCCUUUCAGGCUGAUAGUCUGACUGAACCGAAUAGUUGGUGGUUGUCAACAUAGCUAUAUUCUUACAAAUUUAGAGGACUUCAGUGAGCCCAACUGACUUGCAUGUUUUCUUAGAAACUCACUGCAGCUAGCUAGGGCCAGUUAAUUUUUUUGCAAUUACCUUCAGUAAGGGUACAACACAUUCAUCUCAACAUUUCUGCAAUGUCAGGCUAUGCGUCCCGUGGCUUUAAAUGUUAUUUAUUGAGCUUGAGCUCAAAAGGAUCUAAAGGAUUCGCAUAGUUUACAUGUUUCUUGGAAUUUCACUGAAACUCUGCCUUCUUCCUACUGUGGCAAUUGAACAGGCAAUGAUCCAUUCAUGAUUUCAUUAAAUGAAGAAAGGAUCGAUAAUUUAUCUUUUAGAUGCUGUAAAGAUGUUAUAUUUGUCCAGCUAUGCUGCAUUAUGUAAUUAGAAAAGAACAACAGGAAAUCCAGUUACCACCACUAUGUUGAACUACGUCCUUUUAAAUUGGGCCCCAAAUUCAACACAGUGAGUCCCUUUCUCUGCAGAAAUCCUUCCAGGAACUCUUUGUAAGAAGAAUGGUGAUAGAGAGUUGUGGGAAUAUCCCUUUGCUGUAGCUGGUGUAAAUAUUACAUUCAUGCUAAUUCAGUUGCUUGAUCUUGAAGCAGGUUUGUUUGUCAAACUUUUCAGCAUUUCUUAUUAUGUUGAUCCGAACUGUGAAAGUAGUUUGGCAAUCUUCAUGAACAACUGUAAUCUGAAGUUGGUGUUGCUACAGCUAAGCCAAAGUCAUUGAUUGGAGCAGUGUUCCUAAAUCUACUUAAAGGUAUGUCAUUCUUUUACUGUUACAUUUGUGUAGGGAUGAAAUCUUACAGGGCUGAUGUAGUUUAGGCUUUUAUCCCGAAAGGCCUUUCAGGCUGACAGUCUGACUGAAUCGAAUAGUUGGUGGUUGUCAACAUAGCUAUAUUCUUACAAAUUUGGAGGAAUUCAGUGAGCCCAACAGACUUGCAUGUUUUCUUAGAAACGCACUGCAGCUAGCUAGGGCCAGUUAAUUAUUUUGCAAUUACUUUCAUUAAGGGUACAGAAAUCCAUACAGCAUUAUAGGCGUAAUGUUUAACACCUGUGUGAGGCCCUCUAGAGAUAUACAUAUAUUAUUAGCUUUUAAUAGAAGCUGGGUAAGAGCAAUCAUGUUUUCACAAUUACCUCCAGGUAGGACCAUCUGACCUUUUUUCCAGAAAAUGAUCGAGCAUUUGACAUUUUUUACUGCAUAACUUUCAAAUUAUAAAUGAUCAGAAAUGGCUGGACAUGCACGCCAGUUACAUGGAUUUACUAUAAUAGAUGCUUUGCAAUUUACACAAUGUCAAAUUAUUUCUGAACCGCCCCAAACCAAAAAAUUAGUUAUACUUGUGGUCAAAACAAGACAUAGCAAGUUAACACUCUUAGGUACAUAUAAUAUCAUGGUAGCAGGCAAAUUCUCCAUGGAUGGCAACAAGGAACACACAGGCAAGUGCCUGCAUAUAGGCAAGGAAGGGGUUGGCGUCCACACUCGUGAGCAUUAUCCAUAUGGUGCCAAGUGUUCUUCUGUUACAUUGGCAGAUGAACUAUACAUCUACAAAAAGUACCAUUAUUCAUAAUAUGAUGAUGAGUAAAUUGCAUGGAAUGGCUGACGACGGUAGUUUUACAUGCAAUUAUUUUCAAUCACCUCAUUUUCUCAGUUAUACAGCCUUUUAAAUUUGCAAAACACAGACUCACAAACUUUUAAUCCUAAUUCUAUGGCCUGCCCACUGGCCAUACGCGGCAACGCCGCGUCCAUUUCUAGUGAUUCUUAUUUCCCUAUUCUCUUAGUAGGAGAAGAGCGAAAUAAACGAGGCCGGAAACGACCACGGUCCGGCGCCGGUGGUGGAGCAGAACAGAGCAAGCAGCCAGAGGCGGGCCCAAGUGAAAGCAAGGGUGCUGUCGUCUGGCUGUCGCGCGACGUCGUGAUGGUUGUCUGCCACCUGUUGUCGUCGCUUACCGCUGCUGCCGCUUUGCCGACUUCGAGCGCGAGUCGUGAUUGUGUGAAGAUGAAUAGGCAACAGCUAACACUCAAACUCAAGGACAACAGGGAAAACAACUUACAUUUGGAUCGGCUAAGAGCAACUCCGGCAGUAGCAGCCCUUAAAUCAAACCCUCCAAGUGCCAAAUGAGGAUGCCUCUAUUUUUUAGAGGCCUCUAAAUUUACUCAACUCCAACAAUAGCUCUCAAUUCUAACUUGUGAUAGAGGGCUCCUUAGAGACCCACUAGGAAUGGAUGAAGGAUGAGGAAAUUUGGAGGCAUUCUUGAAAUAGAGGGUCUAGUAGAGAGUCUGCUAGAGUAUAUCUUUUUAGUUUUAUUUUCUAAAUUUGAGAUAUGAGUCUGUUUAAAAGAUC